CCUACGGGUGGCUGCAGUAGGGAAUAUUGGACAAUGGGCGAAAGCCUGAUCCAGCCAUGCCGCGUGAUAGAUGAAGGCCCUCUGGGUUGUAAAUAUCUUUUAUCUGGGAAGAAACAAUCUUAUUCUUAAGAUCUUGACGGUACCAGAGGAAUAAGCACCGGCUAACUCCGUGCCAGCAGCCGCGGUCAUACGGAGGGUGCAAGCGUUAUCCGGAUUCAAGGGGUUGUAGGCGGGCUUAUGCGUCAGUGGUGAAAGUUCCGAGCUUAACUUGGAAACUGCCAUUGAUACUGCCAGUCUUGAAUGUCGUAGAGGUAAGCGGAAUGUUGCAUGUAGCGGUGAAAUGCUUAGAUAUGUUACAGAACACCAAUUGCGAAGGCAGCUUACUAUGCGAUGAUUGACGCUGAGGCACGAAAGCGUGGGGAGCAAACAGGAUUAGAUACCCGAGUAGUC
RNAcentral lists this ribosomal RNA (450 nucleotides) under uncultured bacterium. Its description in RNAcentral is "partial 16S ribosomal RNA". It matches the Rfam family "Bacterial small subunit ribosomal RNA", at positions 338 to 795 of the family's 1533-position model. The record is from RNAcentral.